RNAcentral lists this ribosomal RNA (253 nucleotides) under uncultured bacterium. RNAcentral describes it as "partial 16S ribosomal RNA". It matches the Rfam family "Bacterial small subunit ribosomal RNA", at positions 524 to 776 of the family's 1533-position model. The record is from RNAcentral.
UACGUAGGGUGCAAGCGUUAAUCGGAAUUACUGGGCGUAAAGCGCACGUAGGCGGUUGGUUAAGUUGGAUGUGAAAGCCCCGGGCUCAACCUGGGAAUUGCAUUUGAAACUGGGAAACUAGAGUGUGUGAGAGGGGGGUAGAAUUCCAAGUGUAGCGGUGAAAUGCGUAGAGAUUUGGAGGAAUACCAGUGGCGAAGGCGGCCCCCUGGCACAACACUGACGCUCAGGUGCGAAAGCGUGGGGAGCAAACAGG